CCUACGGGAGGCAGCAGUGGGGAAUUUUGGACAAUGGGCGCAAGCCUGAUCCAGCAAUGCCGCGUGCAGGAUGAAGGCCUUCGGGUUGUAAACUGCUUUUGUACGGAACGAAACGGCGAACUCUAAUAAAGUUUGCUAAUGACGGUACCGUAAGAAUAAGCACCGGCUAACUACGUGCCAGCAGCCGCGGUAAUACGUAGGGUGCGAGCGUUAAUCGGAAUUACUGGGCGUAAAGCGUGCGCAGGCGGUUAUAUAAGACAGAUGUGAAAUCCCCGGGCUCAACCUGGGACCUGCAUUUGUGACUGUAUAGCUAGAGUACGGUAGAGGGGGAUGGAAUUCCGCGUGUAGCAGUGAAAUGCGUAGAUAUGCGGAGGAACACCGAUGGCGAAGGCAAUCCCCUGGACCUGUACUGACGCUCAUGCACGAAAGCGUGGGGAGCAAACAGGAUUAGAUACCCUGGUAGUCCACGCCCUAAACGAUGUCAACUGGUUGUUGGGUCUUCACUGACUCAGUAACGAAGCUAACGCGUGAAGUUGACCGCCUGGGGAGUACGGCCGCAAGGUUGAAACUCAAAAGAGUAGUACGGCGUGNGAGAGCGACGACGACGACGACGGAGGGAGGAGG
RNAcentral lists this ribosomal RNA (624 nucleotides) under uncultured bacterium. RNAcentral describes it as "bacterial SSU rRNA". It matches the Rfam family "Bacterial small subunit ribosomal RNA", at positions 338 to 957 of the family's 1533-position model. The record is from RNAcentral.